Formica exsecta is the source of this 195-nucleotide long non-coding RNA. RefSeq lists it as uncharacterized. Lineage: Eukaryota; Metazoa; Arthropoda; Insecta; Hymenoptera; Formicidae. The record is from RefSeq and is a predicted model, not a curated record. The transcript is spliced from 2 exons.
ACGCAUAUUUCAUGUUUCUCCAUCAAAAAUGUAUUUUGUUCCAACAAUGAAAUUUGAAAAAUCGACAUUUAUUCAUGGUGAAAUACCACAUUGGAAUGCCAAGUUCAUUGAAAUUCCAUUUUUGGAUAACAACGUUACAAUGAUUAUAUUUUUGCCAAAUAAAAAUAUGGAACCUGGGAAUCUGGAGUACUUGGA